UACGGAGUACACUGAUAGAAACAAAAGGGACCGUGUCACAGAGAGGGUGAAAGUGAAGAACUUAACCCAAACGUUGUUCUCUGAGCCCCACACAUGAGCUCUGUCAUGGGCGUACACACACAUACACACACACACACACACACACACACACACACACACACACACACACACACACACGCACGCACACGCUGACAGUGGUUAGGACCAGAGUAAGUCAGUUCUAUUUUAAUGAAAGUGAACACCUGUAGUCAUAUGCUAUUCUGAUUAACUGAGAAUCAUAGGUCAGGUAUGCCAUGGUGCUGGUAAGCCAGAUCAGCCUGCUAAGCACACAAAAGAAUCUCAGGGACCCAGGUGGAGACAGCCAGUUAAUAUCAAAGCAUUUUUUAAAGCCAGGACUAAAUGGGAGGGUCCGUGUGAGAUACAGGAUAAUCUCCUCUACACAUCGCUGAUAGAAUUUUAAAAUCCAGCUUUUGUACCUAUAUUUAAUAUAGGUAUUUACUAAAAAUUCAAUGAAAGACUUAACUUAAAUAGCGCUCAUUUUGCACUUUCCAUGAGAAAAGCAAAGGAACCUGAAAAACAGUUACCCUGCUGAUUAAAAUCACGCACUGCCUAUGAAUUAAAACGAUUGACCAUUCAGAGAAACAAUUACAAAGCUCUACAAUGUGUUAGCACAGAAUCCCAUCAGUUGUCUGCCUGAGCCCCGGCAAAGCGUCUCUUUCCAUUCCUCCAGCUCAUUAAUUCCCAAGCUGUGAUAUUAGGGAUGAUAACAUUUAGUUUUUCAGCGUGUUGCCUACUCCUCUUCCUUUUGUUUUUAAAGAGCAAGUGGGCAUUUUACCUCCUGGCCAUGAGCAGUCAUCUCGGCACUCUCCUUGGAGACUAAGCAUUGCCUUCUCUGUCUGACCUUGAGGACUAUGCCCAGCUUUUUUUUUUUCUUGGUCAAAUAAAAGCAGAGUUCUCAAAUUCAAUGUUCAGUUCCAUGAUGGUUUCAGGAAAUCCAUUUUCCUCUACUCCCUCUUAGUCCUGAACAGCUAGUAUUGCCUGGCAGGAUCUCAAGGUGGCUUUUAGAGGCUAAAGGACAUGGAACAAAGGGCCAGACUUGGGAACCUGGUGCCCUGACCACCUACUUCACUUACAGAUUUAGUAAUUGCUACUUUUAAGUGGUUCCAUUUCUUGGGCUCUAGAAUACAUGAAAGCACACAUAGGACCAGCCACCUAUAGCAGACCAUUUGGGAGAAGGCAUUCUGGGAAGUUCUGGGAUGCUGCAUGUUGUUAGAAAGCCACUUAUUUAGAACUUAAAUUGUGAGGAAGAGGGCUGUUAAAACAUCCCUUAGUACUUACCCAGGUUCCAUAAGAAAUACAGGUACCCGUGACCCUAUUGAGAAGAAGAACAUACUUGUGGCUGAAAGGGUAUGGACUUUGGCAUCAAAUAUAUAGUCUGAAUCUCAGUUCUCUUCUCUUCUCUUUAUGAUCAUGAGCAAGUGGCUCUUUUUCUGUGUCCUUAUGUCUAAGACCUACCACACAAUGUCUCCCCAGCAGUGUGUUACAAGAACUUAAAGUCCAUAUGUAUAACGUUCUUGAGGGACGUUGAUAAGUGGCAGACAUAUUGUUUUCAGAAACAAUUGGCCAUCAAAGAACACUUCGUGUGUAUUAGCUGCUGAAGUCCUCACUACUAAUUCUGUUCCUUCAGGCAAAGACCCAAGAACCUGUAUCUCACAAUGCCCAUUUGUAGCUUGCAUAAACCUUUACCAGUUAUUAUCUCCAGGGAUGUCAAGUGAAUACACCAUGGGCUUAGGAAGCGAAAGUUUCAUGACUACAAAGACUUGUUUCAUGUUUUCAUGGUAUGAUGUUUAAGUAUGCAGUGAACUUACUACAAUUAGUCAAAUUAACACAUUUAUCUCUUCAUAUACCCACCAUUAGUGUGUGGCAAGGGCACUCAUGAUACACUCUAUUAGCAAAUUUCAAAUGUGUGAUGCUAUGUAAUAGAUCCCUAGAAGAUUUUCAUGCUCAUAAUUGAAACUGUAUAUUUUCACCAGUAUCUCCCCAUUGCCCGGCCUCCAUCCCUGAGGGCUACUGUUCUACUCUCUGCUUCUCUGAGUUUGGUUUUUUAGAUUCCACCUUCGAUGAAAAUUACCAAAUACAUGACUAUAACAUGAUGUUUUUCAGGUCAGUUCAUAUUAUUGAAGAUGGUAGAGUUUUCUUAUUCCUGGAGACUGAAUAAAGUAGUAGUGUGUGUUUCUAUAAAUAACAAUUUUUUGCCAUCCCCUCUUGAUGGACACUUGGGCUUUCCCGACCACCAUACCUGUCGUGAGCUGUGUUUAAAUCAGUAUGAUACUGCUAAUGUCUCUCUGAGACACUGAUAUCAUUUCUUUUCAAUAAAUAGACAGAAGUAGGAUUAGAGGACCAUGCUAUAAUUUAUAGCAUACUUGUAAUUUUAUUGGGGAAUAAUCUCUAAAUUUCUUUCCACAAUAGCCACUGUAAUUUACAUUCCCUACCACAAAAGACAAGGUUCCUCUUCCCUUCACUUCCUCACCAGAACCUCUGACUUUUGUAAAGGUCACCGACAGGGGAGAGAGGUGAUCUGACCUUGUAGUUUUGCCAGCUGUGGUUACUGAUGCUAAGCAGUGCUUUAGACUCCUAUUGGCCAGUUUGUAUCUUGUUUGAGAAAACAUCUCUUCAAAUUCUUUGCCCACCUUUACAUUCUGGUUGUCACUUCUUUAACUACAGAGUUUCUUACAUAUUUUGGAGAUAAUCUCUCACCAAACACAUUAGCAAGCAAGUUCUUCUUCGUGGCAGUUUACCUUCUCAGCUCUGUCGUCUGUUGCUUCUUAUCUGUGCUGAAGUGUUUUCAUUUGCUGUCACUCCCACUGAUACCAUUUUACCUUUU
RNAcentral lists this long non-coding RNA (2884 nucleotides) under Mus musculus (house mouse). Its description in RNAcentral is "long non-coding RNA chr3:68235410-68238294". The record is from RNAcentral. Lineage: Eukaryota; Metazoa; Chordata; Mammalia; Rodentia; Muridae.